GACGAACGUUGGCGGCGUGCUUAAUACAUGCAAGUCAACUGAAGCAGUGGUAGCAAUAUCGCUGUGGAGGUGGCGCACGGGUGAGUAACACGUAGGUAAUCUGCCUUCAGGUCUGGCAUAACUCCGGGAAACCGGGGCUAAUAGCAGAUGAUGCAGCGGCUCGACAUCGAGACAGUUGUUAAAGCUAUGGCGCCUGAAGAUGAGCCUGCGUCUGAUUAGCUAGUUGGCGGGGUAACGGCCCACCAAGGCAACGAUCAGUAGCUGGUCUGAGAGGAUGAUCAGCCACACUGGAACUGAGACACGGUCCAGACUCCUACGGGAGGCAGCAGUAAGGAAUAUUGCUCAAUGGGAGAAAUCCUGAAGCAGCAACGCCGCGUGAGGGACGAAGGGCUUUUGCUUGUAAACCUCUGUAGGGAGAGAAAAAAAUCCCAAUCUUUGGGACAUGAUGGUAUCUCAAAAGUAAGCCCCGGCUAACUACGUG
This 481-nucleotide ribosomal RNA is filed under the name uncultured bacterium. RNAcentral's name for it is "partial 16S ribosomal RNA". It matches the Rfam family "Bacterial small subunit ribosomal RNA", at positions 28 to 507 of the family's 1533-position model. The record is from RNAcentral.